Molecule: transfer RNA, 67 nt
Filed under: Nacolus tuberculatus
Lineage: Eukaryota; Metazoa; Arthropoda; Insecta; Hemiptera; Cicadellidae
Description: tRNA-Leu
Source: RNAcentral
UUUGGAUUGGCAGAAAUUGUUUUAUGCAUUAAAUUUAGGUUUUAAUUAAGUAUUUAUACAUUCAUUA